Molecule: long non-coding RNA, 6683 nt
Filed under: Heterocephalus glaber (naked mole-rat)
Lineage: Eukaryota; Metazoa; Chordata; Mammalia; Rodentia; Bathyergidae
Description: lncRNA (ENSHGLG00000044843.1)
Source: RNAcentral
UACAUCCCCGACCAUUUUAAAGUUUGGUUUUUUCAGAUAAGAGUCUUGUUAAAAACGUUGCCUGAUCUGGUAAACUUGAAAUCUUUCAGCCUAGUCUCCCAAGUAGCUGGAAUUACAGGUAUGUACCACCAAGGUCAGCUAUUUACUUUUUAUAUCCUAAGCAAGAUCUUGUCUUCUAUAAUAUUUUUAAACCGGAUUUUAGUUUAUGUAUGAGAAGGCUGUUGAUUUUUGUAUGUUAACUUUACAAAUUCCUUUGCAAAAUUUUUUCCUUUGUUUGUAGUAGCCCAAGUUGGAUUUGAAUCUGACUCUGGUAUCUCUUGAGACUAUAGUCAGGCUAUUUUGAGUAUCUUAAUCAGUUUGGACUGCUAUAAUAAAGUACUAUAGAUUGAGUAGCUUGUAAACAAUGGAAAUUUAUUUCUCACAAUUCUGGAGGCUGGAAGUCUAAGAUUAGAUUGUGAGCAUGAUAAGGUUCUGUAGAGCGCUCUCUUUGGAGUUGUAGAAUGCUCACGUCUAGUGUCCUUACCUAGUAGAAAGAAUGAGCUAACUCUGGGUUCCUUUUGUAAGGGCACUAUUCCCAUUCAUGAAGGCUCCGCUCUCAGGAUUUCAUCUAAUCCAAAGUACCUCCCAGAAGCCCCAUCUCCCAAUACCAUUAUUUUGGGGGCUAGGGUUUUAAUAUAUAAUUUUUUAGGGGCAAGAAAUGAUUAGCUUAUAACAGUGGGGUGUCUUCCUCAUCUCUAAAAAUGCAGAUAAAAAAACGAAACUCAAAAAUGAUGGUGAGUGCCAUGAAGUGACACCCAAAAUUCACGUAUUGAAGAUUCAAUCUCCAGUGUAGUAGUGUUCAAAGGUGGGGCUUAGAGAGCUGAGUGGAUUGUGAGGGAAUUAACCUCAUCAAUUGUUUAAUCCAUUGAUGAAGUUGUAGUUGAAUGGGCUGCUAGGGGCUGGCACAGUUGGAGGUAGUAGGUCACUAGGAGGCAUGCCUUUGAAGAGUACGACCUGUCCCCAGUCCCUGCCUCCAUUUCCGACUCUUUCAGUUAGCUCCCUGACUGCCAUAAUUGAGUAGCUUUUUUCUACCAAGCCCAUGGAUUGAAUCUCUGAAGCUAUGAGGCAAAAUAAAAUUUUCUCUCCUUUAAAUUGUGUAUGUCAGAUAUUUUGUCCCUUUAACAGAAUGAUGACUAAUGAACAUAAUAGUUGAGAUUAUAUAAUAAAAGAGCUAAUAUUUCACUUGCCACAUAGUAGGCAAUCAAUUACCAGUAUCCAUUAAUAGUGUAUUGUAAUGUGAUAUGAUGUGAUAUCAUUAUUUUCUUCUUGAAGUAUAGCUUAUGUGCUGUGCUAUUGAACUAUUGAAAAUUGAUCAUAGCAGUUUUUACCAAGAGUAGAGUGAAUUUAACAAAUUUUUAAAAUUUUCAUGAUAAGCAUUUGUAAUAAACAUUUAUUUUAUUUAUUUUUUUUUGGUUUUUUGAGGCAGGAUUUCCUUUGUAGUUCAGGCUGUCCCUGAACUCACUGUGUAGCCCAGGCUGGCCUCAAACUGGAAGCAAUCCUCCUGCCUCAGCCUCCUGAGUGCUGGUAUUACAGGCAUGCACCACCAUGCUUGGCUUGUAAUAAGCAUUUAAAUACCAAUAACUAAAGAAUAAUUCUGAGAUUAUAUGGUUUUUGUGGCUUUGCACAUACAUUUCCAUUACUUCUCAUUUAAUUAUGAUUUUUACAUGCAAAGUUUCUUACCUCUGUAGAGUAUCUGGAAAGAACUUCUAGAUCACCCACAGUGAUUAUUCAAGGCGUUUCUUAGAGUGUAUUGAUUUCAGCACUUGUUAACUGUGUAAGUGGAUAUGAGGAUUUCAAGUCCUGCAAUCCUUUGCAUCCUAACUCAAGAAUCUGACAACUUUAACCAUACUUUCUUGGUAAAUAGUAUACUUGUAAAUGAGUUCAUGUGAGUUAAAUAUUUAAUAUAUAUGAACUCAUGAUGAUAAUGAUCUUAGCAGAUUAAUGUUUUCUGUCCUAUUAUAUAAGAUCUGUUGAUAAAAUUAAUGACAAAACAAUGAGGAAGUCUAAUGACUUUAAAGCUUGUACUAUAAAUUACUACAAUGGAUAUUAUCUUUGCAAAUGCAUUCUUUUAAUUCAUUUGAGAUAAUCUAUUGCUUGAAAAUAAGAAUUCCAGAAAUUUAGAAUUCAUCUUAUUCCUACCUCAUGAUUGUGUUGUGAGGCUAUGCACUUAGGGCACAUACUAAGGUGCCUAGCUCAUGAUAAAAGCUUGAUGAAUAUCAGUUGAUUUUAUUCUUACCAUUUAUCUACAAAAUGUUGCUCAAAAUAGUACCUACUAUAUAAGGUUAUCCUGAGGAUUAAAUGAUUUGUCUUAUACUGCAGUUAGAGAAAUAAUAUAGUUAUCUAGAGAUCCUGAUUUCAGAUGUUUUGAGUAAGUGCCCAGAAGAAUUCUAAACAUGUAAUAUUUCUAUUAUUAGUUUUGAGGAAGCUCCAUACUGUCUUCCUUAGGGACUGUACCAUUUGGCACUCAUAUCAACAGAGCACAGAAGUUCCAACUUCUCUACAUCAUCACCAACACCUGGCUUUUAAAAAGAAAUUAGUAGUAGGCCAGGAUUUAGCUCAGUGGUUCUACAGCCUCCCUCACAAACGCAAGGUCCAGAGUUUUAUCCCCGCUCCCAAAAAAGGAGAAAAAAGAAAUUAGUAGCUGUCCUGACAGAUGUUAGGUGAUACUUUGUUGUGGCUUUCCUUGCUUUACCAUGAUGAUUAGUAGAUAGAUUAGAUGAUAAUAAAGAUUUUUUUCAUAUACUCAUUGGCCAUUUGUUUGUCUUCUGUAGAGAAAUGACUGUUGAAAUAUCUCAAUUUGUUUGGACUGCUAUUACAAAAUACUUUAAACUGGGUAAUUUGUGAACAAUAUAAAUUUACUGUACACAGUACUGGAGGCUAGAAAGUUCGACAAAGUUCUGGAAGAUUCAAUGUCUGUUUGUUUUCAUCCACCAUUAUUCGAAUAAGGAUCUUGAAUAAAUAUGAACACUCACAUUAUUGUAAUAUUGUUGACAAUAACCAAGAUAUGAGGAAAACCCAAAUGUUCUACAGAUGAGUGGAUAAAGAAAACAUUAUACAUACAUACAAUGGAGUAUUAUUCAUCCUUAGAAGAGAGGUAAAUUCUAUAAUAUAGGACAACAUGGAUAAAACUUGAGGAUGUUAUGCUGACUAAAAUAUGCCAAUCACAGAAAGACAAAUACUAUCUGAUUCCACUUUUAAGACAUACACAAAUAGUCAAAUUCAUUGAAUAAAAGAGUAGAAUGGUGGUUCCAGCGAUUUGAAUUGAGCAGGAAAUGGGGUUACUAAUCAAUGGGCAAAAUGUUUCAGUUAAGCAAAAUGAAUUAAGUUUUAGAGUUCUGCUGUAUCAUAUAUAAUAAUCAAUGCUGUACACUUAAAAAUAUCAUACACUUAAAUAUUUGCUAAGAGGGUAGUUAAAUGCUUUUAUUAAAAUAAAGCAAAUAAAAUAUAGAAAGUCCUCAAUAAAUGUUAAUUAACAUUAGUGUGAUUGUUAGACAAAAGGGAAUGAAGCUAAUCCCAUAAUAAUAAACCCAAAGUAAUACUAUAUAUAAAGGAUGAUAACAUUAUUUUUGUUGUGGCUAGGGCAGUGGGAUUGGGGGAGCUUUAGUCAAUACUAUUUGAAGCAAACCUUAAAAUACGAUUUCUGUAGGUGAGAAAAAAAUAGAAGAGAAGUGGAUGUAAAAAAGAAAACUUCCAGGGACUUUGCAGUCAUAAAGAUUCAUAUCUAAAGUCCUGCUCCACUUCUUAUUAGUUGUGUGACCCUGGAUAAAAAUAGGCCCUGUUUGUAUUCUUGAGUCAUGGUCUGCUAAUUCUUUCUAGGCAGUAAACUACAGCAAUAGUGAGAAUAAAUUCAUUGUUUUACUUGUCUGAGAGAUUGCUGUCCUGUGCUGCCUGCUGUUCAUUGGAUGUAAAUCAAUAUUUUAUGUAUUUUAUCUAGUUUUUUGGUUAAGGCGGGAGACUAUAAACCCUGUUUCUGUUCCUCCAUCAAUUUCAAAAGCAGAAAGUCAGUAGAUUACUAUUAGUUUUACUUUUCUCAUUGGUGAAUUUGAAACUUAUUUGUUUCUCUUAGCACCUUGUAGUUGUUACUUUUUUGUUCUCAUUAUACUGCAUUAUAAUUAUUACUUUACUUAUAGUACUGCUUCCUCACUACUCUGGAUUUUUAGACAACAGUGACUAUGUCUGUUUCAUUUUUACCCUUAUUACCCACCCAUUGUCAAGUUUUGAGUCUGGAAAAUAUAAAGAAAGUUAAUGAAUAUUUUUUUAUAUUUAAUUUCUGUGGAUUGUAGCUGAGUGCCAUACAGUGGAAGACUUUGAAUACUGCACUGGAGUUACCCUUUUAUUCACUGCACAAGAACAGGAGGGAUGGGAAACUUUUUAAAAAAUAAGCUUUAGAAAAAAUAACUCUAGAAGCAUGAAAAUUGAUAGGGACUACUAGAGGUUGAAAAUAGACUAUCUAGAAUUCUGCUUUUCAGAUCUGCUUUUAUAGAUGCACUAGAAGCAUAAAGACAGAUGAAAGGUAUUAGUGAUUGAAAUUUAGGGGUUGAGGAUAUAACUGUGGGAAUGGGCAGGGAAUAUUGCUGGUUUUGGUAAUUGAUUAGAUGGCUAUAACUGAAAGGAAAAGUGAGAAAAAUGAUGGCACAGAUUUUUACCAAUGAUUGACAAAAUCCUUAGAAUGAAUUGUUAGGUUCUUUUGUCAUCUUUAGCACAUAAAUGACCAAUUUUAUGAUAAAAAUUUGAGAACAAAAUUUCAAUAUGUAAAGAAAUAAAUAGUGAUAAAAAUUUAUCUUAAGAAUUUUGAAUUUAAAAAAUUUAAAAAUUCUUAGGAAAUAUUUUAUUAUGUAGGGAUAAUUUUCAGUUGUAUUAUAAAUACCAUUUAUAUAUGUACAUGUUUCAUUAUCCCAUAUAUAUUCUUCUGCUUCCUUGUGUCUGUAGAAUAUUUUGGUAUGGAUUUACUGCUCAAAGUACAUUUCACAUAGUUUGAUGAGUGUUUGUAGCAUAAUCUAGAGUGAGAGUUUUUCCUCAGAUAUAUUUUAACUUCAGUUUUGGAAUAUAAGUAUUCAUGCAGACUCUUCUCUUUUUGAGAAGGUGGAAGAGCUAUUGAGAGUAGCAGAAGUAGGGAAUAAAACACAUUAGAACAAUUAUAGAAACCCUCCAAUGCUAAACAUUUAUCCAUAAAAUAUAGUAGCUGUUUGAAUAUAUAGAACAUUUGUAACAAGAACUUGCUUACAUGGAAACCAUAAUAUUAAGUGAAAUAAAUCAGGUACACAAGCUUAAAUAUUUUUCUUAUAUGUAAAAUAUUUCUCUUAUAUGUAAAACUCAGUAUAUAAAUAAAGUGCAAAGUAAAAGACAAAUAAUAGGAAAAAAGAGAGAGAAAAACGUUAUUGAUAUCCAGCCUGAACAAUGUUUCUAAAGUGUUCCUUGAUUUAGUAUUAUUGUCUUAUAUGAUUUAAAUGUUUUUUGGCUUAUUAGUCUUGUUGUUAAUCUGUAUAUAUGAUAAUUAACUUUAUAAUGACAUAAAUGAAUCUGAUGCUGGCAAUAUAAAAGGAGGUGAGGGAAGAGAAAAAAAGAAUUGAGAUGUGGGUUUGGACUGGUCUGUGUCUUCUAGUUUCUUGAGGUAAAACAUCAUUUAUUUGAGCUCCCUCUGUUUUUGUAAUAUGAGCAUUCACAGCAAUAAAUUUCUUUCAGGACUGUUACAUUGUGUCUUAUAGGUUGUUGUAUGUUGUAUUGGCAUUAUGGUUUGAUUCUCGAAUUGUUUAAUUCUUCCUUGCUUUCUUCUGUGACCCAUUGAAUCUUCAGGAGUGUAUUAUUUAAUGUUCAGGUAUUUGUAAAAUUUCUGCGGUUCUUUUUGUGAAUUGAUUUCUAGUUUCAGUUUGCUAUGUUCUGAUAAUAUAUGUGGAUAGUUUUGAUUCUUUCAUAUUUAAGCAGGCUUUAGGGACUAGUAUGUCAUCUGUUUUGAAGAAAGUUUCAUAUGCUGGUGAGAAGAAUAUGUAUUCUGUUAUAAUAGGGUAGAAUACUCUGCAGAUAUCUAUUAAGUACAUUCUAAAGUGUAGUUCAGCCUUUACAUUUGUUAAUUUUUUCGAUAAGUUGAUCUGUUUGUGAAAGUGGGGUGUUGAAGUCACCCAUUGUGAUUCUGCUGGUGUUUAUUUGAUCUUUUAUGUCCAGUAGUGUUUGUUUUUUGACAUUAGGUGUUCUGGUAUUUGUUGUAUAUUUUUCCUUGACUAAUAUGUAGUGACCUUCUUUGCAUCUUUUGAUCGUUUUUAGCUUGAAAUUUAUUAGCAUACCCAUGUAUAUAGUGGCCCAGUUUGUAAUAGCUAAAUCUUGGAAACAGUCCAGAUGCUCAUCGAGACUGGAUAAAGAAGACGUGGGUUUUUAAAAAAUAAAAUGGAAUACUACUCAGCCAUAAAGAAUGAUAAACUAAAGACAUUUAUAGCUAAAUGGAUGUACAUUGAGGCCAUACUCUUAAGUGACAUAAAUAGGACACCCAUGUGUAAAUUCCAAAUAGUUUCUCUGGUGUGAGAAACUGAAAGUGUAAAUGAGGAUCAAAAUGUAUAAUAGAUAAUGUGAAAUAAGAAGAAAAGGUCCAAGGGGGAAGGGGAAAUGGGGGGAGAGUAGAGGAAAGGAAAGAGGUUAAAAAAAAAACACUGAGA